Molecule: ribosomal RNA, 468 nt
Filed under: uncultured bacterium
Lineage: Bacteria
Description: partial 16S ribosomal RNA
Rfam family: Bacterial small subunit ribosomal RNA
Source: RNAcentral
GACGAACGCUGGCGGCGUGCUUAACACAUGCAAGUCGAACGGUAAGGCUCUGUUUUUGCAGCGUUCUCGAGUGCCGAACAGGUGUGUAUCACGUGUGUAACCUGCCCCUUUCUUUGGGAUACCUUCUGUAGACUCGGGCUCUUACCCGAUAUGACCUCCUUCUACAUGGUUUUUGUUGUUGAGUUUCGGCGUUUGGGGAUGGACUCGCGGCUUAUCGUCUUGUUGGUGGGGUAGUGGAUUACCAAGGCUUUGACGGGUAGCCGGACUGAGAGGGUGACCGGCCACAUUGGGACAGAGAUACGGCCCGGACUCAUACGGGAGGAAGCAGUGGGAAAUAGUGCAAGAUAGGCGGAAGCCUGAUGGAGCAACGCCGCGUGCGGGAUGACGGCCUUCGGGUUGUAACCCGCGUGCGACUGUGAAGAAGAGUAAGUGACGGUAAUGGGUAAAGAAGAACCGGCUAACUACGUG